RNAcentral lists this ribosomal RNA (346 nucleotides) under uncultured Anaerolineaceae bacterium. RNAcentral describes it as "bacterial SSU rRNA". It matches the Rfam family "Bacterial small subunit ribosomal RNA", at positions 1025 to 1382 of the family's 1533-position model. The record is from RNAcentral. Lineage: Bacteria; Bacillati; Chloroflexota; Anaerolineae; Anaerolineales; Anaerolineaceae.
GGAGCUAGCACAGGUGCUGCAUGGCUGUCGUCAGCUCGUGUCGUGAGAUGUUCGGUUAAGUCCGCUAACGAGCGCAACCCUCGCUGUGUGUUACAAGUGUCACACAGGGACCGCCGGUCUUAAGUCGGAGGAAGGUGGGGAUGACGUCAAGUCAGCAUGGCCUUUAUGUCCAGGGCUACACACACGCUACAAUGGUCAGCACAAUAGGUAGCCAAGCCGCGAGGUGGAGCCAAUCCUACAAAGCUGGCCUCAGUUCAGAUCGCAGGCUGCAACCCGCCUGCGUGAAGCCGGAGUUGCUAGUAACCGCAGGUCAGCUAUACUGCGGUGAAUACGUUCCCGGGGCCUU